Sander lucioperca (pikeperch) is the source of this 177-nucleotide long non-coding RNA. RefSeq lists it as uncharacterized. The record is from RefSeq and is a predicted model, not a curated record. The transcript is spliced from 3 exons. NCBI's taxonomy places the organism in Eukaryota, Metazoa, Chordata, Actinopteri, Perciformes, Percidae.
UUAUAACAAUUUGUAUGUGAUUAAAAUGUUUCUACACAAACAUUGGUACUUGUAUCAACACAAAUUGUGAUUUAUAUGACACACAAACUUAGUCAGGGCACAUACACCACUAAAUAGACCACUGUAUAUGUUAGUUUAAACACUUACAUUUCUUUUUGUCCAAUUAUUUUUUCUCAU